This 451-nucleotide ribosomal RNA is filed under the name uncultured bacterium. RNAcentral's name for it is "partial 16S ribosomal RNA". It matches the Rfam family "Bacterial small subunit ribosomal RNA", at positions 29 to 523 of the family's 1533-position model. The record is from RNAcentral.
AACGAACGCUGGCGGCAGGCCUAACACAUGCAAGUCGAACGCUCGUAGCAGUACGGGAGUGGCGCACGGGUGAGUAACGCGUGGGAACGUGCCCUUUAGUUUGGGAUAACAGCUGGAAACGGCUGCUAAUACCAAAUACGCCCUUCGGGGGAAAGAUUUAUCGCUAAAGGAUCGGCCCGCGUAAGAUUAGGUAGUUGGUGGGGUAAUGGCCUACCAAGCCUACGAUCUUUAGCUGGUCUGAGAGGAUUAUCAGCCACACUGGAACUGAGACACGGUCCAGACUCCUACGGGAGGCAGCAGUGGGGAAUAUUGGACAAUGGGGGAAACCCUGAUCCAGCCAUGCCGCGUGAACGAUGAAGGCCUUAGGGUUGUAAAGUUCUUUUGUCAGGGAAGAUGAUGACGGUACCUGACGAAUAAGCACCGGCUAACUUCGUGCCAGCAGCCGCCGCCG